This 692-nucleotide ribosomal RNA is filed under the name Erwinia sp. AGC-1-3. RNAcentral's name for it is "bacterial SSU rRNA". It matches the Rfam family "Bacterial small subunit ribosomal RNA", at positions 77 to 762 of the family's 1533-position model. The record is from RNAcentral. Lineage: Bacteria; Pseudomonadati; Pseudomonadota; Gammaproteobacteria; Enterobacterales; Erwiniaceae.
AGCUUGCUCCUUGGGUGACGAGUGGCGGACGGGUGAGUAAUGCCUGGGAAACUGCCCGAUGGAGGGGGAUAACUACUGGAAACGGUAGCUAAUACCGCAUAACGUCUUCGGACCAAAGUGGGGGACCUUCGGGCCUCACACCAUCGGAUGUGCCCAGGUGGGAUUAGCUAGUAGGUGGGGUAAUGGCUCACCUAGGCGACGAUCCCUAGCUGGUCUGAGAGGAUGACCAGCCACACUGGAACUGAGACACGGUCCAGACUCCUACGGGAGGCAGCAGUGGGGAAUAUUGCACAAUGGGCGCAAGCCUGAUGCAGCCAUGCCGCGUGUAUGAAGAAGGCCUUCGGGUUGUAAAGUACUUUCAGUGGGGAGGAAGGCGAUGAAGUUAAUAGCUUCGUCGAUUGACGUUACCCGCAGAAGAAGCACCGGCUAACUCCGUGCCAGCAGCCGCGGUAAUACGGAGGGUGCAAGCGUUAAUCGGAAUUACUGGGCGUAAAGCGCACGCAGGCGGUCUGUCAAGUCGGAUGUGAAAUCCCCGGGCUCAACCUGGGAACUGCAUUCGAAACUGGCAGACUAGAGUCUUGUAGAGGGGGGUAGAAUUCCAGGUGUAGCGGUGAAAUGCGUAGAGAUCUGGAGGAAUACCGGUGGCGAAGGCGGCCCCCUGGACAAAGACUGACGCUCAGGUGCGAAAGCGU